UAGGUUCGGGGAGGAGGAUGAUGGGAAGUGAACAGCCCUGGUCUCUCCACAGGAUGAAGGAUCACUGGGUUGACUUGUCUCUGACAAACCAGCAGCAGCAGUGUUCAGGACUUGAGGACGGGGAUGUCGGGUCUGUUGGUCCACAGCAAAAUGUCUCGACUGUCCUGAUUUCCAUGAUAUCUGCUGUGGCUGUUCAUGGUCUGCAGAUGAUGGAUGCUGAUGGAUUUCGGUGACCUCUGACCUUUCCUCUGCUAAUGUGUCCGACUUCCUGAUCUUGGCGUUGACGGUGUUCUUGUCCUCGCAGAGGUGGUGAUGGAGGAGUAGUUGGUGGUGUUGAUGGUUCGGUGUGUUUUUCUCGAUGGGGUUCUUGAUGUGGUUGAGCUGCU
This is a long non-coding RNA of Sebastes umbrosus (honeycomb rockfish), 386 nucleotides long. RefSeq lists it as uncharacterized. NCBI's taxonomy places the organism in Eukaryota, Metazoa, Chordata, Actinopteri, Perciformes, Sebastidae. The transcript is spliced from 3 exons. The record is from RefSeq and is a predicted model, not a curated record.